UAUUGGACAAUGGGGGAAACCUGGAUCCAGCAAUGCCGCGUGAGUGAAGAAGGCCUUAGGGUUGUAAAGCUCUUUCGCCCGUGACGAUGAUGACGGUAACGGGAGAAGAAGCCCCGGCUAAUUCCGUGCCAGCAGCCGCGGUAAUACGGAAGGGGCUAGCGUUGUUCGGAUUUACUGGGCGUAAAGCGCAUGUAGGCGGCGGAUCAAGUGGGGCGUGAAAGGCCUGGGCUCAACCUGGGAACUGCGCUUCAGACUGGUUCGCUCGAGUUCGGGAGAGGGUGGUGGAAUUCCCAGUGUAGAGGUGAAAUUCGUAGAUAUUGGGAGGAACACCGGUGGCGAAGGCGGCCACCUGGCCCGAGACUGACGCUCAAGUGCGAAAGCGUGGGGAGCAAACAGGAUUAGAUACCCUGGUAGUCCACGCUGUAAACGAUGGGUGCUAGAUGUCGGGGGGCUUGCUCUUCGGUGUCGCAGCUAACGCGUUAAGCACCCCGCCUGGGGAGUACGGCCGCAAGGUUAAAACUCAAAGGAAUUGACGG
RNAcentral lists this ribosomal RNA (536 nucleotides) under uncultured bacterium. RNAcentral's name for it is "bacterial SSU rRNA". It matches the Rfam family "Bacterial small subunit ribosomal RNA", at positions 362 to 916 of the family's 1533-position model. The record is from RNAcentral.